Suncus etruscus (white-toothed pygmy shrew) is the source of this 178-nucleotide long non-coding RNA. RefSeq lists it as uncharacterized. The transcript is spliced from 2 exons. NCBI's taxonomy places the organism in Eukaryota, Metazoa, Chordata, Mammalia, Eulipotyphla, Soricidae. The record is from RefSeq and is a predicted model, not a curated record.
AGGUGGAUAUUUAUUCUUGACAUCAUACAGCAUGAGCCAUUCAAGAAGGAAGGUCACCGCUAAUAUAGAUUGUGAAAGUGUGUAGGAUCAGGUGAACUGUCCACAGCAAACCAGUGAGGAAGAGGAUUAAGAGGAAUGAACAACUUAAUUUGUCUUUAAUAAAGACAUUCUAAAACCA